GCCCGGUUAGCUCAAUCGGUAGAGCGUGAGACUCUUAAGAGCACACGAUCUCAAGGUUGCGGGUUCGACCCCCGCAUCGGGCU
Molecule: transfer RNA, 83 nt
Filed under: Amphichorda felina
Lineage: Eukaryota; Fungi; Ascomycota; Sordariomycetes; Hypocreales; Bionectriaceae
Also listed under: 1 other name
Description: Beauveria felina tRNA-Lys
Rfam family: tRNA
About the family: Transfer RNA (tRNA) molecules are approximately 80 nucleotides in length. Their secondary structure includes four short double-helical elements and three loops (D, anti-codon, and T loops). Further hydrogen bonds mediate the characteristic L-shaped molecular structure. tRNAs have two regions of fundamental functional importance: the anti-codon, which is responsible for specific mRNA codon recognition, and the 3' end, to which the tRNAs corresponding amino acid is attached (by aminoacyl-tRNA synthetases). tRNAs cope with the degeneracy of the genetic code in two manners: having more than one tRNA (with a specific anti-codon) for a particular amino acid; and 'wobble' base-pairing, i.e. permitting non-standard base-pairing at the 3rd anti-codon position.
Source: RNAcentral